Molecule: long non-coding RNA, 787 nt
Filed under: Sorghum bicolor (sorghum)
Lineage: Eukaryota; Viridiplantae; Streptophyta; Magnoliopsida; Poales; Poaceae
Description: long non-coding RNA (SBIC_LNC013453)
Source: RNAcentral
CUGUGCAUUGCAUUGCUUGCGCACAUAGGCCUCCUGUGCAUUGCAGUUGCUUGCGCACAUAGGCCGUGUAGUUUGGUAUGAAUUUUUUUUUGACACUAUAGCAUUUUCGUUUAUUUUUAGUAAUUAUUGUCUAACCAUGGAUUAAUUAGACUUAAAAGAUUUAUCUCGUAAAUUCCGACCAAACUGUGCAUUUGGUUUUUAUUUUCAUCUAUAUUUAAUAUUUCAUGUAUACGUCUAAAGAUUCGAUGUAAUGGGAAAUUUUAAUUUUUUUUAGAUUUUUAGGUGGAAGUAAACAAGGUCAUACACUUCUUGGGUUUCUUCUCGCAUUGCAACGAAGAACAUACUACGCAGCUGGUACGUACCCCGCCAUGAUCUAUGGCGGGGUACCCCUAACCCGCCGUAGUCUAUGGCGGGGUACAUGUCAGCAGUCUCGUCGUCAUGGACGCCACGUGGAGGCUGGCGGGGUACAGUGUAUUUGUCCCGCCAUGUAUGGUGGCGGGGCCAAACGGGUUAGUCUUAUUUUUUUUUCAAAAUCGUGUCGAAUUUGAAAUAUGUUUUGAAUUUAGGCUAAAAAUAAAAAAAAAUUCCUCAGCUCACACUGACAGUGACACGUAAGAGCACCGGUCAUUGCCAUGCUGGCCACAACCAUAAAAUAUAUAAUCCGGCCAUAAAAGAGAUUUAUAAGACUACCAUUGGUUAUAUAUUAUUUAUUUCUAACUGUAAAAUGGAUAACAAUGUACGUACCAGUGAAAUUGUAACCAAAAUAACGACACUUUGAUAGUGACAC